This 490-nucleotide ribosomal RNA is filed under the name uncultured bacterium. Its description in RNAcentral is "partial 16S ribosomal RNA". It matches the Rfam family "Bacterial small subunit ribosomal RNA", at positions 30 to 507 of the family's 1533-position model. The record is from RNAcentral.
AUUGAACGCUGGCGGCAGGCCUAACACAUGCAAGUCGAACGGUAACAGGAAGAAGCUUGCUUCUUUGCUGACGAGUGGCGGACGGGUGAGUAAUGUCUGGGAAACUGCCUGAUGGAGGGGGAUAACUACUGGAAACGGUAGCUAAUACCGCAUAACGUCGCAAGACCAAAGAGGGGGACCUUCGGGCCUCUUGCCAUCGGAUGUGCCCAGAUGGGAUUAGCUUGUUGGUGGGGUAACGGCUCACCAAGGCGACGAUCCCUAGCUGGUCUGAGAGGAUGAACAGGCAAACUGGAACUGAGACACGGUCCAGACUCCUACGGGAGGCAGCAGUGGGGAAUAUUGCACAAUGGGCGCAAGCCUGAUGCAGCCAUGCCGCGUGUAUGAAGAAGGCCUUCGGGUUGUAAAGUACUUUCAGCGGGGAGGAAGGGAGUAAAGUUAAUACCUUUGCUCAUUGACGUUACCCGCAGAAGAAGCACCGGCUAACUCCGUG